This 1227-nucleotide long non-coding RNA is filed under the name Felis catus (domestic cat). Its description in RNAcentral is "lncRNA (ENSFCAG00000051996.1)". Lineage: Eukaryota; Metazoa; Chordata; Mammalia; Carnivora; Felidae. The record is from RNAcentral.
AUGCUGACCCUGGGGUGGUUCCAGCCACACCCAGCAUUGGAGAGCAAGAGCCUGGGGCCAAUGCCACACUCUGGGUGUAACAGGAACAGAUUCCUGGAUCUGAAGAGCAGGCCUGGGCCGGAUACUCCCCUGGAUCCCAAGAGAAAGGGCUGUGAAACACUCGGGAAGGUGAGUGGGUAUAAAUGGCCCUUUACCGGCUCAAGAUACAAGGUUUUUGUUUCUCUGGUUGGUGUGCUAAAUGCAUCCAGACCCUCCAAGCACAAAAUCUGUGAUUUCCUUCUUAAGCCUCUUCCACUAACAUGUAUACUCAGUUGAAACCACUGAGGACUUACCCAGUCCAAAGAGGGACCCGUUCCCGCCCUGCCUCCCCCCCCCCCCCCCCGUAGAGACUCAGUCCUACUACUGAGCGGGCUGUGUUGUGCCAGUCAUGGCCACAAGGUGUCGCUGUGGACCAGGUGUCCUGCACAGCCCCUGCAGCCUGGCUCACACUGGAGGAGGGGGUGGCUUGGGAAGGAGCCCCGGGGCACCCGGGGCCCUGCCUGCUGGCUGUCAUCAUUUUUCUUGCAGAGCAGAGCAUGCACCAAGGAGCAAGCCCUGACUGGUUCAAAAUGAUCUGAGACAGGAUGGUCACCAAAUCUGAUCUUCCCCGACUUUUCCCCUCCUGCCCAGAGGUAGAGACUUAGCACGCAAAUGAAACCCACCAUGUAUGAAGAAGUGUGUUCUGUCCACUGUGCCUGCACCCCACUUUCCUGAGGCCCCCCACCCCCGUGCCCUCCUGCCUUGGCUAGCUUGGGGAGCCAUUCUGUCAACUUCAUCUCCCUGCAGCUGCAACUGUUGCCCUAGUAAAACUUUGCCUGUGCCUUUAAAUUUGGGGUCCAGACUCGUUUCUACUGUCACUGGGUCCAGGACCCUAGUUGGGUAACACUGUGGCCUCUGCUGCAGCUCCCUGCAGGCUGCCGGGGUGGGGAGGGAAGGGAGCCUGACUCUGAUGAGCCCGGGGCUCCCCGCAUUAUCCCACAUGCUCUGCCCACAGUGUCCAGGUUCUCGUGUGGAAUCUGGACUUUCCCCUCCCCCUUGGAGUGAGCCCCUGUGGGGAGGGGCCCUGGUAUCCUUUUCUGCCAGCAGGCUUUCGUCUGGACACUCAAACCCAUCAGAGGGGUUCUAAUAAUGUUUGAUCUAAGAAAGGAAGGGGCUGGUGGAAUGGGGUAGUCUCUCUCCCUUUCCUCC